AUUUAGCUCUUCCCGUUCUUCUAUUAAGGUCAUAUACGUUAUAUAACUGUCUUGUUUAAUUAAUUAUACACUCCAACAAACACAUUCAUGAUCCAAGGAAACCGUCUAGGGCUAAGUUCUGUCUACAUCCUAUCCUCUACAGACACUACAUAUGGGAUAAUAUUGAAUACGUUAUUGUAUGAGAAGUAUAUAUUUCAGCUUGUUAAAAGUUGAUGUUUCCUCAAUUAACAAAGAUAUAUUCAAGUUCACUAGCAGGAACGACCAUGAAGUGCGUAAAGGAGUCGGUAUAGUGCUGAAUAAAGCAUAAUGGUCUGUACUACAGUAUCAUUAGGAAAAGUUCAUAGCAUGGGAUGCAUUCCACAAAAGGUUGUGCCUAUAUUAAGCCAUGUAUAUAGGGAGGAUAACAGAUUGUUUCCACUCGUACCCCAGCUUUCGCGUACUUCUCUGAGAAGAUUAUUUUGGACAGUGAAAUCUUCAUUGAGUAAUCAGGAGAAGCAACUGAGAGCCUUAGAUUCUUACUUCCAAAAGCUUCAUGAUAGCACGGGAGCUUCAUCUUCGAUUGAGAUAGAAAAACUAACAGGAAAAAAUCAUCGACCUAAAGCAGAGAAGGCACUACGAUCUUUGGAUUACUUUCGUGGAAAAGAGCCAAAAUUCCAUACAUUUUCAUCUUCUGAUGAGAAUACAAUUGAAGAAGCAUCAUAUUUUUCCAUGAGAAUGAUCAACAGAGGUGGCAGGGCUAAGAAACUAGAACAGUACAUGAAGUUAAAAGCUAAGGAUAUUGAGAGUUCGAACGAAGAAUCAUCUAGUUUUUACUUGAUAGGAAUACUGGCUUCUAUUAACAUUGCAGUAUUCCUCUUUGAGACAGCUAGUCCAGUCAGGAACUCGGAAGUAGGGAUGUUGUCACUACCAAUGGUAUAUGGCGCGAAGAUAAAUCAUUUGAUCCUACUUGGUGAAUGGUGGAGGCUUUUAACACCGAUGUUUCUGCACUCAGGAGUCCUUCACAUAGCCCUUGGUUGUUGGGUGCUUCUAAGUUUUGGGCCUCAAGUAUGUAAAGCAUAUGGUUCAUUUCCAUUUUUCCUGAUAUAUGUUCUUGGAGGAAUUUCUGGUAACCUCAUCAGUUUUCUUCACACCGCGGAGCCAACUGUUGGAGGAACUGGACCUGCUUUUGCUCUAAUAGGAGCUUGGCUCAUUUAUCAAGUCCAGAACAAAGACAUGCUAGGAAAAGAAGCUGCUAAAAGCAUGAUGGAUAAGGCGAUAAUAGCAACUGCUAUCAGCUUUGUGCUAAGCAACUUUGGGCCUAUAGAUGACUGGGCACAUUUUGGAGCAACAUUGAUGGGAAUAGCAUAUGGUUAUCUUGUAUGUCCAAGUGCUCAAGUGGAAAAUAUUGCAUCUUCAGAAAGUGGUCAAAAAGAAGGAAUGACACUAGUUAAACAAUAUUCAGAUCCUUGUAAAUCCCUUAUUUACUUCUCAGUCUUCAUUAUCCUGUUUGCUUCUUUGCUUUUGAUAAUAGAACCUCCUCUCAACUCAAUAGCUGGAGCUGGAGACAAGUUCUAUAUAAGCUGAAACAGGGUGAUUAAAACUCUAAUACUUUAUGCAUAGGCGUGUUAUAUAUACAGGUUUUGAAUAAAUAAGCUUUACAAAAAUAUAUACAGGUUUUGAAUAAAUAAGUUACUAGUGACCUGCUACUAAAUGGUGCUAAAAAUUGUUAAUUACAUAAAAUUGUGAACUUCAAGCACUACAAAAGUCGAUAUACAGAUUGAUCAAUAGAUGAAAGGAUCAUAUUUUACUUAUUUUUAACAAUUUCUACGUAUUUACCCAAUUAAUUUGAAUUCGCAACAAAACCCUUUCUACCAAGAAGGUUUGAAUCUGAGCUCUUAAAGCUUAGUUUAAGAGUGAGCGAUCACAUAUUAUGUUUUGCGUCUUUCAUAAAAUUUAAUCAGUCUGAGAGGAAGAGAAGGGUCAUUUGCAGUUUUUCACCCAUUUUCUGUUUCUUUAAUUUAUUUAAGUGGAAACAAAUAUUUUUUUAUUGGAUACAAGUUUAUAUUUAUAUAUAUAUCUUAAUAUUUGCAAGUUAUUUUUAAAUGACUUAGCGUCUCUAAAGGACUACUCUUUACUCUUACUAAACAUAAAUAGCUUAUCUGUUAAAUGGAUAAAAAUUAAAGUUCAUGAAAAAAAAAAAAAGGCGAAAUUUCAUGAAUAGCAAAAAAAAAAAAUAAAAUUUAAUAAGUGCGAUAAUUUUAUCUGAUAUGCGAAAACUUUGAGAGAGGCCCGGGUUCAUAAAGGGAGGAUGGGCUUGGAGAGAGACAGUAAAAUGGGCUUUAAUUCAUAAAAUGGAAGCCCGCCAGCGUAAUCUUUGGGAAUUCAAAUUUUGUGACACCUGUAGAGGGUGACAAUGGAGUCCUCGUGAAGCAACCACGUAUCUCGACCAAAAAAAACACCUAUUACUGCAAGCAAAAUUGGUGGAAACUAUGAUACUGAGCAGCAGAUUAAUGGCGGUGGGAAGAGGCGGCAGAACCCUUAUGGGGCCAUUGUUGGUCAUAAACUUGGUAGUUUAUUUAAUUGUACUGGGACUUGCUGGCUGGUCAGUUGAUAAAUACAUUGAUGGUGAACAGAAUCAUCCUCAUUUAGGUGGGAAUCCAUCAACAAGUUUUAUGUUGAUUUUUGCAUUGAUUGGGGGAGGAAUGGGUGCUUCCUCUAUGCUAGCUGGGUUUUUUCAUCUCCGGAAAUGGACUAGUCACAGUUUGGCUAGUGCUGCUUCUUCAGCUAUAAUCUCUUGGGCCAUUACUGCUCUUGCUUUUGGUUUAGUUUGCAAGCAGAUAAUAAUGGGAGGUCACCGAGGAAAACGCCUGCAAACUUUGGAAGCGUUGAUCACCAUAGCUAUGGUGACUCAAUUACUCUAUAUACUACUGUUGCACGCUGGGAUUUUUCACAGCAGGUAUGGCCCUGUUUAUGGUUCCUAUGGACCUCAGCACUAAAUUGCUCAACUCGGUCCAGCUCUGCAAUUGCUCCUCCGUGAUUAUGCCAAAAUUGUUUACACCAGAUAAAUACAUCCAGGACUGCUGUGGAUUGGUUAGACUCAAACUUGUACAGUUCAGAUACUUUUAGCAUUUCUAGUGUUCAAUUUUCAUCGACUGUCGCAGUAAGAAAUAGCUGUACAUGAAAUCUGGGUUCUUGGUUCAGAUGGUUCAUGGUAAAUUUGGAACAUUUUUAUAAUUCCUGUAUUGAAAUGUUGUGUUUACUAGAUGAGAACAAAAGCUGAGUUGAUAAACUAAA
Solanum pennellii is the source of this 3273-nucleotide RNA transcript. It is a transcript of the gene named RHOMBOID-like protein 9, chloroplastic, with no coding region annotated. The transcript has 10 exons. The record is from RefSeq and is a predicted model, not a curated record. NCBI's taxonomy places the organism in Eukaryota, Viridiplantae, Streptophyta, Magnoliopsida, Solanales, Solanaceae.